Molecule: ribosomal RNA, 724 nt
Filed under: uncultured beta proteobacterium
Lineage: Bacteria; Pseudomonadati; Pseudomonadota; Betaproteobacteria
Description: bacterial SSU rRNA
Rfam family: Bacterial small subunit ribosomal RNA
Source: RNAcentral
AUUGAACGCUGGCGGCAUGCCUUACACAUGCAAGUCGAACGGUAACAGGUCUUCGGAUGCUGACGAGUGGCGAACGGGUGAGUAAUACAUCGGAACGUGCCCGAGAGUGGGGGAUAACGAAGCGAAAGCUUUGCUAAUACCGCAUACGAUCUCAGGAUGAAAGCAGGGGACCGCAAGGCCUUGCGCUCACGGAGCGGCCGAUGGCAGAUUAGGUAGUUGGUGGGAUAAAAGCUUACCAAGCCGACGAUCUGUAGCUGGUCUGAGAGGACGACCAGCCACACUGGGACUGAGACACGGCCCAGACUCCUACGGGAGGCAGCAGUGGGGAAUUUUGGACAAUGGGCGCAAGCCUGAUCCAGCCAUGCCGCGUGCAGGAUGAAGGCCUUCGGGUUGUAAACUGCUUUUGUACGGAACGAAAAGACUCUGGUUAAUACCUGGGGUCCAUGACGGUACCGUAAGAAUAAGCACCGGCUAACUACGUGCCAGCAGCCGCGGUAAUACGUAGGGUGCGAGCGUUAAUCGGAAUUACUGGGCGUAAAGCGUGCGCAGGCGGUUAUGUAAGACAGAUGUGAAAUCCCCGGGCUCAACCUGGGAACUGCAUUUGUGACUGCAUAGCUAGAGUACGGCAGAGGGGGAUGGAAUUCCGCGUGUAGCAGUGAAAUGCGUAGAUAUGCGGAGGAACACCGAUGGCGAAGGCCAUCCCCUGGGCCCGUACUGACGCUCA